This 433-nucleotide ribosomal RNA is filed under the name uncultured bacterium. RNAcentral describes it as "partial 16S ribosomal RNA". It matches the Rfam family "Bacterial small subunit ribosomal RNA", at positions 29 to 507 of the family's 1533-position model. The record is from RNAcentral.
AACGAACGCUGGCGGCAUGCCUAACACAUGCAAGUCGAACGAGACCUUCGGGUCUAGUGGCGCACGGGUGCGUAACGCGUGGGAACCUUCCCUUAGGUUCGGAAUAACUCCCCGAAAGGGGUGCUAAUACCGGAUAAUGUCUUCGGACCAAAGAUUUAUCGCCUUUGGAUGGGCCCGCGUUGGAUUAGCUAGUUGUUAGGGUAAAAGCCUACCAAGGCGACGAUCCAUAGCUGGUCUGAGAGGAUGAUCAGCCACACUGGGACUGAGACACGGCCCAGACUCCUACGGGAGGCAGCAGUGGGGAAUAUUGGACAAUGGGCGAAAGCCUGAUCCAGCAAUGCCGCGUGAGUGAUGAAGGCCUUAGGGUUGUAAGGCUCUUUUACCCGGGAUGAUAAUGACAGUACCGGGAGAAUAAGCUCCGGCUAACUCCGUG